AGUGAACGCUGGCGGUAGGCCUAACACAUGCAAGUCGAACGGCAGCACAGUAAGAGCUUGCUCUUACGGGUGGCGAGUGGCGGACGGGGGAGGAAUACAUCGGAAUCUACUUUUUCGUGGGGGAGAACGUAGGGAAACUUACGCUAAUACCGCAUACGACCUACGGGUGAAAGCAGGGGAUCUUCGGACCUUGCGCGAGUGAAGGAGGCGAUGUCGGAUUAGCUAGUUGGCGGGGUAAAGGCCCACCAAGGCGACGAUCCGUAGCUGGUCUGAGAGGAUGAUCAGCCACACUGGAACUGAGACACGGUCCAGACUCCUACGGGAGGCAGCAGUGGGGAAUAUUGGACAAUGGGCGCAAGCCUGAUCCAGCCAUACCGCGUGGGUGAAGAAGGCCUUCGGGUUGUAAAGCCCUUUUGUUUGGAAAGAAAAGCAGCAGGUUAAUACCCCGCUGUUCUGACGGUACCCAAAGAAUAAGCACCGGCUAACUUCGUG
RNAcentral lists this ribosomal RNA (492 nucleotides) under uncultured bacterium. RNAcentral describes it as "partial 16S ribosomal RNA". It matches the Rfam family "Bacterial small subunit ribosomal RNA", at positions 29 to 507 of the family's 1533-position model. The record is from RNAcentral.